This is a non-coding RNA of Chiloscyllium plagiosum (whitespotted bambooshark), 3350 nucleotides long. The record is from RefSeq and is a predicted model, not a curated record. NCBI's taxonomy places the organism in Eukaryota, Metazoa, Chordata, Chondrichthyes, Orectolobiformes, Hemiscylliidae.
UUCGUAAACCCCGAGUGGACGGAGGGAGCUCUUCAAUGAUAGCGUCAGUGGUGAAGUGCAGCAUUUCCACAGACACCUGGGAAUCACUGGUCCAAGACUGUCUAAAGUGGAGGAGGAGCAUCUGGGAAGGUGUUGAGCACCUCGAGACUUGCCGCCAAGACAAAGUGGAAACUCUGCGAAAACAGCGGAAUUAGCAUGUCUGUCAUACCAAUAACCCACCCACGCUUUCCUGUGACCAGGAAACAGGGGAUGUGAUAGCCGCAUCAGUCUGCAUUGCUGUCUACAAACUUAACCUGAGAGUGGAAGAAAGUCAUCCGCAUCUGCGAGGGACCGCCAAAAGUUCUCUGAGUAAAUUUUGACAGUGGUUCCUGGAAUGGCAAAUUGAUGCAAGGCGAAAGGACAUCUCAGCUCUUGGGAGACACCAACCAAUGACCAAUGAGAUGAAAGGAUUGAGGAAUGCACUGAAAAGGAAUAAAUUAAUUCAACCUUCAAUCAGCUGCAAAGAGAGAAAAAGAAAAGUUAAAUGAAGAAAAAUGGAAUGAGAAAAAGGAAAACAAAGAAAAAAAGUUUCCUAUUUAAAACUUAACAUUUUCAAAAUCUCCAACAAUGUACAAACUGAAAGAAUGAUAUUGUACAUUAAAAUUAUUACUUUCUAGACAAGAGAAGUUGAUUAGUAAUCAUCAACAAUUAACACAUUGCUCAGUGUAUUUAAUCUAAUCAUCAUACUUUAACUUGUUGCAUCAAGUUCAAUAUACAAAAAUAUCCAAAUUCAAGAACUUCAUGUAAUUCACAGGAUGGUUAACAGUGAAAUGUCAUUAUAAUUUAUGGUGAAUAUUUUCCUUGCCAGAAGCUAGAGACAGAGAAUCAUAGAGUUUUUGCAGCAUGGAAAAAGGACAAUCAGCCCAUCAUAUCUUGCUGCUUUGGAUUUAAAAAGGGAUAUAAGCACACUGGAAGCAGAUCAUAGAAGGUUUACUAGACUAAUAGAUGAAUUAUCUUCUGAGGAAAGCUGGGUUUGUAUAAGCUUGUAUCCAUUAGAGAUUAGAAGGGAAAGUGGUGAAUUGACUGAAGCAUGUGAGAUCCUGAGUGAUCUUUAUGGGAUGAGUCUGGAAAGAUUAUUUCCUCUGUUGGAAAUUGGGGGUCUCUGUUUAAAAAUAAGGAGUUACCCAUUUAGGUUACAGUUGAGGAAACUUUUUUUCUCAGAGGGUUGUCAUUUUUUUGGAACUUUCUUCAUCAAAAGGUGGAGAAGCAGAUUCCUUGGAAAUAUUGAAUGCAAAGUUAGGUAGAUUCUUGUUGAGCCAGAGCUUGAUUGGUUACCAUGGUAACUUCAAAUGUGGAGUCCCUGAACAGCCACAAGCUCAUUGAAUAACACAGCUGGCUUGAGGGGCCAAGUAGCCUUCUUCUUCUGAUCCAAAUUUGUCUGUUCAUAUGUUUGUUUGUGCAUUAACCACAGAGUGCAUUGUGCAGACACAAUUGGCUGCAUUUUACCAGCAACAUGCAUUUCUGGCAAAAUCAGGUCAUUGGGAAAUUAGAUCACCGAUGGAAUUGGAAACCCUUGGGGGCAGGCAGUCAAUUUCCAUGAGGAAAUUCCCAAUGAGACUAUUGGCACUUUUCCACCAGACCACCAACACCCUCACUCCACCUCCUUAUGAGGAGGCUGUCAUGUUAAAUAAUGACAGCCUUUUCAUGGCAGACAGGAGGAAUAAUCUUUUAAACCAAUGAGUGAGCUGCAGGUAGGGAAGGCAAUUGCCUGCAGUUUAAAUAUCUCCCUGGAUGCGAUUGUACUCGGUCCUGGAAUUUUCUUUGAAAUUUAUUUGCAUAGCUGCUGUAGGCUUCCUCAGUAAUGGCCACUGCUCCCAAUGGCGCUGCUGAGUUUGCUGAGUUGCUAGUCCUCUAGGCCAGUAGCUCUAGGGGGCAAGUAUUCCAUCGACAAUAGAAUGGCCCCCUGGCAAAACAACCUCUUAAUUUGCUCCAAUCCAUGAGGGAAAAGCCUGCCAGCCUCCUGUACAUGCCAGCAACAUACAUUUCCUGAGGAUCGUUCACUUAAUUAUCAAAUUCCAGGACAGUAUUCAGAAAAAUCUAGGUUGAGAUCAUUCAGACUUUACCUUCUGUGCUCCUGCUAAAGUCUACAAAUAGUCAACUAGAUUGCCUGAACGUGUAUUCACUCACAAGGAUCUCACAGAACUUGUCACGGAACAGAAUACUAUAAAUGUCUCAAAGCAUUUUAUAAAUGCCCCCUUUUAUCAUUAUGUUCUCUCUGACCGAUCAAAUACCAAAUAAGAAACAGGAUGGUUCACAGCCAUGAGUCAUGUCACUACUCUCUACCAGCUAUGUACGACUAUAAUUGCAAUAAAUUGGCAGCAACCCUAAACUCACUGGCCACAUCCAGAAGUCAAUGUGGUUCUAUGCUUCUGCCAUUAAGAUUGUGCCAAUUUCUCAGCUGGUGUAAAUAUAGGGAAUGCAAAACAAGAAACAAAUAGGAAUGAAACAAGAUUUAUUUUAAGUAGAGUGCUUAACUCAUGCAUGCUAUAAUUUCAUGACAACAUCACUGAGUGAUGAAGUGCUGCCACUGUAAAGAGCACUGUUAUAAUUUUCCAAAUCUGGGAACCCUUUCAAUCUUGUGUUUUGCCAAUAUUUCUGUUAUUUUACUUUUUUUACUCUGUCCCAGUUAACACACACAAUUACUAAGACAUAAUUAGAGAAAGGUCUCAGUAUUUACUAUUGGGGAAGGCUGCAGUAUUCUCCAGCUUGUGACAUGCCCAGAGAAUUCAGGGAUAUAGCAGCUGAUUUUACAGGCAGGAAAUCUUUACAAUAAAGGUCCAGGAGUCCUGACCAAUACCCUGUAGAUUUGUCACUUAGCUGGUGGGCAGGAUCAGGAAAUUGGCAGCAGGAAGGCAAAAUAAGAUUCAUGGGAUUGUUCUGAUAAUCAGUUCUGAAGGCAACUGGUAAUUGAGGUAAAAAGCAGAAUAUGAUGAAAGAUAGGCCAGAGCUUUGGAGUUCAAACAACUCCUCAAAUGGCAAUCCUGCUCUGUUUGGAACACACGAAGUGCAAACAAAAGCAAAUUUGGUUAAACUUACACUGGCUUUUUCUGGCCAGUCAGUUCCUCCCACCGUGAUUCUGCAGCCUGCACAUGGAUUGAAGUUAACAUGAGGUUGGAAUACCGCUGAUGUCAUUAGGCCACCAUUUCUGAAGAUCAAAGCAGCAGCCUGCCUGACCUUUGCAGGAAUGAGGCUCCAUUGGGAAAAACUGCUGGGGCCAGGAACACAGCUGCCUGAAGCUGAGCGAGGAUUUUCUCAUUUUAACCCCUCCCACAAGCCAUUGUUAAUAGGGAGGGUGUUUAAAAUCCCUGCCA